GGUCCCCCACAUUGGUACUGAGACACGGACCAAACUCNUACGGGAGGCAGCAGUGAGGAAUAUUGGUCAAUGGCCGAGAGGCUGAACCAGCCAAGUCGCGUGAAGGAAGAAGGAUCUAUGGUUUGUAAACUUCUUUUAUAGGGGAAUAAAGUGGAGGACGUGUCCUUUUUUGUAUGUACCCUAUGAAUAAGCAUCGGCUAACUCCGUGCCAGCAGCCGCGGUAAUACGGAGGAUGCGAGCGUUAUCCGGAUUUAUUGGGUUUAAAGGGUGCGUAGGUGGUGAUUUAAGUCAGCGGUGAAAGUUUGUGGCUCAACCAUAAAAUUGCCGUUGAAACUGGGUUACUUGAGUGUGUUUGAGGUAGGCGGAAUGCGUGGUGUAGCGGUGAAAUGCAUAGAUAUCACGCAGAACUCCGAUUGCGAAGGCAGCUUACUAAACC
Molecule: ribosomal RNA, 436 nt
Filed under: uncultured Bacteroidales bacterium
Lineage: Bacteria; Pseudomonadati; Bacteroidota; Bacteroidia; Bacteroidales
Description: bacterial SSU rRNA
Rfam family: Bacterial small subunit ribosomal RNA
Source: RNAcentral